RNAcentral lists this ribosomal RNA (398 nucleotides) under uncultured bacterium. Its description in RNAcentral is "partial 16S ribosomal RNA". It matches the Rfam family "Bacterial small subunit ribosomal RNA", at positions 523 to 918 of the family's 1533-position model. The record is from RNAcentral.
AUACGUAGGGUGCGAGCGUUGUCCGGAAUUACUGGGCGUAAAGAGCUCGUAGGUGGUUUGUCGCGUCGUCUGUGAAAUUCCGGGGCUUAACUCCGGGCGUGCAGGCGAUACGGGCAUAACUUGAGUACUGUAGGGGAGACUGGGAUUCCUGGUGUAGCGGUGAAAUGCGCAGAUAUCAGGAGGAACACCGGUGGCGAAGGCGGGUCUCUGGGCAGUAACUGACGCUGAGGAGCGAAAGCAUGGGUAGCGAACAGGAUUAGAUACCCUGGUAGUCCAUGCCGUAAACGGUGGGCGCUAGGUGUAGGGGUCUUCCACGACUCCUGUGCCGUAGCUAACGCAUUAAGCGCCCCGCCUGGGGAGUACGGCCGCAAGGCUAAAACUCAAAUGAAUUGACGGGG